RNAcentral lists this ribosomal RNA (386 nucleotides) under Albinaria turrita. Its description in RNAcentral is "partial 16S ribosomal RNA". It matches the Rfam family "Bacterial large subunit ribosomal RNA", at positions 1854 to 2568 of the family's 2925-position model. The record is from RNAcentral. Lineage: Eukaryota; Metazoa; Mollusca; Gastropoda; Stylommatophora; Clausiliidae.
UUAUCUGCCCAGUGAAAACUUCAACGGCCGCAGUACCUUGACUGUGCAAAGGUAGCAUAAUCACUUGACUUUUAAUUGGAGCCUGGAAUGAAUGAAAUAACGUAGACAGCUUGUCUCAUUAAUAGCACUCUUAAAUUGCUAUAGGAGUGAAAAUACUCUUUAAUUUAAAAAUAGACGAGAAGACCCUUAGAAUUUUGAAAAUGUAAAAGGUUUUUCUUUUAAAAUUUUUUGUUGGGGCAACAAUAUUUCAUGUAAUAAAUAUUAUAUAGAAUGAUGGGUCGAUUUAAUAAUUACAGUUAAAUUACCUAAGGGAUAACAGCAUAAUUUUAUUAAUAAGCUUGUGACCUCGAUGUUGGACUAGGUACUAUUAAGGCUAAUCGUUUUAA